Molecule: ribosomal RNA, 1433 nt
Filed under: uncultured organism
Description: 16S ribosomal RNA
Rfam family: Bacterial small subunit ribosomal RNA
Source: RNAcentral
CAGGCUUAACACAUGCAAGUCGAGGGGCAGCAUGGUCUUAGCUUGCUAAGGCCGAUGGCGACCGGCGCACGGGUGAGUAACACGUAUCCAACCUGCCGUCUACUCUUGGACAGCCUUCUGAAAGGAAGAUUAAUACAAGAUGGCAUCAUGAGUCCGCAUGUUCACAUGAUUAAAGGUAUUCCGGUAGACGAUGGGGAUGCGUUCCAUUAGAUAGUAGGCGGGGUAACGGCCCACCUAGUCUUCGAUGGAUAGGGGUUCUGAGAGGAAGGUCCCCCACAUUGGAACUGAGACACGGUCCAAACUCCUACGGGAGGCAGCAGUGAGGAAUAUUGGUCAAUGGGCGAGAGCCUGAACCAGCCAAGUAGCGUGAAGGAUGACUGCCCUAUGGGUUGUAAACUUCUUUUAUAAAGGAAUAAAGUCGGGUAUGGAUACCCGUUUGCAUGUACUUUAUGAAUAAGGAUCGGCUAACUCCGUGCCAGCAGCCGCGGUAAUACGGAGGAUCCGAGCGUUAUCCGGAUUUAUUGGGUUUAAAGGGAGCGUAGAUGGAUGUUUAAGUCGGUUGUGAAAGUUUGCGGCUCAACCGUAAAAUUGCAGUUGAUACUGGAUAUCUUGAGUGCAGUUGAGGCAGGCGGAAUUCGUGGUGUAGCGGUGAAAUGCUUAGAUAUCACGAAGAACUCCGAUUGCGAAGGCAGCCUGCUAAGCUGCAACUGACAUUGAGGCUCGAAAGUGUGGGUAUCAAACAGGAUUAGAUACCCUGGUAGUCCACACGGUAAACGAUGAAUACUCGCUGUUUGCGAUAUACAGCAAGCGGCCAAGCGAAAGCGUUAAGUAUUCCACCUGGGGAGUACGCCGGCAACGGUGAAACUCAAAGGAAUUGACGGGGGCCCGCACAAGCGGAGGAACAUGUGGUUUAAUUCGAUGAUACGCGAGGAACCUUACCCGGGCUUAAAUUGCAGAUGAAUUACGGUGAAAGCCGUAAGCCGCAAGGCAUCUGUGAAGGUGCUGCAUGGUUGUCGUCAGCUCGUGCCGUGAGGUGUCGGCUUAAGUGCCAUAACGAGCGCAACCCUUGUUGUCAGUUACUAACAGGUUCCGCUGAGGACUCUGACAAGACUGCCAUCGUAAGAUGUGAGGAAGGUGGGGAUGACGUCAAAUCAGCACGGCCCUUACGUCCGGGGCUACACACGUGUUACAAUGGGGGGUACAGAGGGCCGCUACCACGCGAGUGGAUGCCAAUCCCCAAAACCUCUCUCAGUUCGGACUGGAGUCUGCAACCCGACUCCACGAAGCUGGAUUCGCUAGUAAUCGCGCAUCAGCCACGGCGCGGUGAAUACGUUCCCGGGCCUUGUACACACCGCCCGUCAAGCCAUGGGAGCCGGGGGUACCUGAAGUGCGUAACCGCGAGGAGCGCCCUAGGGUAAAACUGGUGACUGGGG